This is a long non-coding RNA of Orbicella faveolata, 1456 nucleotides long. NCBI's taxonomy places the organism in Eukaryota, Metazoa, Cnidaria, Anthozoa, Scleractinia, Merulinidae. The record is from RefSeq and is a predicted model, not a curated record.
UUUGUAUUUUUUCACAUUGAUAACAAUCUUCCCAUUACUGAGCGGUCAUCCAUAACAGUGUCAUAGUGAGACUUGAAUAAGUUUUUGUAAGAAAAGCGCCUGGAAAGCACGCGAGCUGUUCUGGUAUAAAUUUGGUCUGGAAUCUUUAAAUACUCGAGUCCUGGAAGCUGACUGUAGAGACUGACAUCGUUGAAUUUGUCGACAGCUGAAGAUUCUACUCCUACUGAGUGAAGAAGGAUCUCUCUUCGUGGCCGGUCUGAUUCCUUCUCUGAAAGCGACGAAACUCCUGAAGUGUCAAUACUGGAAAUUCUCUCCAUCGGCCCAAAACUGACGUAUGUACUGCAGCACCCAUUGGUUGUCGUAGUAACUCCUCUGUAUUACCUAUGGACUGACUACUCAGAUCAAUAUGAAGCCAAUGUGAACCACCUGGAACUGUUCAAGCACCUCCGUUUUCCUGACUUUACAGUCUGGCCAGACAAAUCACCGUAAACUUGGUCGAUUAAAAUUUGCCGCAAAUUACUUACGCCUGACUGAGGUGGUAGAAUUUAAACAAUUAGAAGGAGAAAUUUUGGUCACGGAUUGAAAUGGAGGCUGAUACCAUUUAUUAGUGAAGACAUUGAGGUCAAAACAUGCUUUGACAGUGCAUAUUCCGGGGCAUUUGCUCGACUCAAUCUCACAUUAGUUUGAGUUUGGGCCCUUAUUCGGGACAAUUGUCAGUCAACCCCUUGUAGCUGACCAAACCACGUACUUUGUAACUGUGAUGGCACAGAUACAAGAAAAUGAAACUAUCUAUACAUAGCAAAUUAAUGCCACUAGUGUAGCCUGAGUUUCGAUAGAGGAUAGAUGUACUGAACGCUUGUUGAGUACUGCGUGUCGUAAUGCUGGAUGGAAUAACGUAUGCCUGUCGAUGCAUCUGCGCGCUGCCGACGGGCGAUAACCAUGUUACCCUUGAACAAUUUUUUGAUUGGCUGCAAUAACCCUCCCAGACAAUCAUUUCGUGCACCUGUUAUCAAACUACAACAGAACGUCGUGUUCCUACGCCUAUGUUCUGGCAAUCUCGCUAGGCAAGAACAUCUACGUUUCUUUCUAAAGAUCGAUUGCGUUUCGUAGAUCGAUUGUGAAAAUUCUGUUCCUCCAUUUUCAUUAAGUAUACAGAUAUUCAAAUAUCAAGGAUAGCGAAUACAAUUUCCUUUUGCAAACACUAAAUGAUUUUUCAAGUUUCUCGCAAAAUUUGAACUUUUUAAGUCUUUCGAGUAGAGAUGAAACAAGACGGCUGAUAUUUAGUGGCUUUUGGCCGACCAGCAGGUUUCCUUUUGCCAGAUUGUGUCCAUUGCAAGAUGAUGUUGGGUUAUGAACCCGAUCCAUUCUAACUACGUACGUGUAAUGAACACUAUAUCGAGGCUUCUCUAAUUAAGUGAGUAAUCUUAACUCUUUCUGAUUCGCCAAUUUGUUGCUU